RNAcentral lists this ribosomal RNA (325 nucleotides) under uncultured prokaryote. RNAcentral's name for it is "bacterial SSU rRNA". It matches the Rfam family "Bacterial small subunit ribosomal RNA", at positions 26 to 352 of the family's 1533-position model. The record is from RNAcentral.
AGAUUGAACGCUGGCGGCAUGCCUAACACAUGCAAGUCGAACGGUAACAGGCCCUUCGGGGUGCUGACGAGUGGCGGACGGGUGAGUAAUGCGUAGGAAUCUACCCACGAGUGGGGGAUAGCCCGGAGAAAUCCGGAUUAAUACCGCAUACGACCGAGAGGUGAAAGCGGGGGACCGGAAAGGCCUCGCGCAGCAGGAUGAGCCGAUGUCCGAUUAGCUGGUUGGUGGGGUAACGGCCCACCAAGGCGACGAUCGGUAGCUGGUCUGAGAGGAUGAUCAGCCACACUGGGACUGAGACACGGCCCAGACUCCUACGGGAGGCAGC